This 132-nucleotide non-coding RNA is filed under the name Candidatus Brocadia. RNAcentral's name for it is "c-di-GMP sequence". It matches the Rfam family "c-di-GMP-I riboswitch aptamer". From Rfam's summary of the family: GEMM was predicted in a large-scale screen for bacterial structured RNA regulatory elements. Genes associated with GEMM are involved in a diverse array of functions, including chemotaxis regulation, signal transduction, secretion and chitin. Lineage: Bacteria; Pseudomonadati; Planctomycetota; Candidatus Brocadiia; Candidatus Brocadiales; Candidatus Brocadiaceae. The record is from RNAcentral.
AACGAUAAAGGCAAACUCAGAGUGAUCUGGGGGCGCAAAGGAAAGGGUCUUUAAUCCGCUUAGAUGGCAUGUGCCUGAAAUAAAACGCUCUAGGUACGGUAAGAGAUGUUAAAGAUAGCCUUCCUGCCGAAU